GGUCCGUAGGCGGAUGAUUAAGUCAGGGGUGAAAGUUUGCAGCUCAACUGUAAAAUUGCCUUUGAUACUGGUUAUCUUGAGUUGUAUUGAAGUAGGCGGAAUAUGUAGUGUAGCGGUGAAAUGCAUAGAUAUUACAUAGAACACCAAUUGCGAAGGCAGCUUACUAAGUACUAACUGACGCUGAUGGACGAAAGCGUGGGUAGCGAACAGGAUUAGAUACCCUGGUAGUCCACGCCGUAAACGAUGGAUACUAGCUGUUCGGGGCCUUGAGCUCUGAGCGGCUAAGCGAAAGUGAUAAGUAUCCCACCUGGGGAGUACGUUCGCAAGAAUGAAACUCAAAGGAAUUGACGGGGGCCCGCACAAGCGGUGGAGCAUGUGGUUUAAUUCGAUGAUACGCGAGGAACCUUACCAGGGCUUAAAUGUAGUCUGACAGCUUUAGAGAUAGAGUUUUCUUCGGACAGAUUACAAGGUGCUGCAUGGUUGUCGUCAGCUCGUGCCGUGAGGUGUCAGGUUAAGUCCUAUAACGAGCGCAACCCCUGUCGUUAGUUGCCAGCAUGUCAUGAUGGGGACUCUAACGAGACUGCCCGGUGCAAAC
This 595-nucleotide ribosomal RNA is filed under the name uncultured bacterium. Its description in RNAcentral is "bacterial SSU rRNA". It matches the Rfam family "Bacterial small subunit ribosomal RNA", at positions 566 to 1163 of the family's 1533-position model. The record is from RNAcentral.